Molecule: ribosomal RNA, 253 nt
Filed under: uncultured bacterium
Lineage: Bacteria
Description: partial 16S ribosomal RNA
Rfam family: Bacterial small subunit ribosomal RNA
Source: RNAcentral
UACAUGGGGUGCAAACGUUGCUCGGAAUUAUUGGGCGUAAAGCGCGCGUAGGCGGUUACUCAAGUCGGAUGUGAAAGCCCUCGGCUUAACUGAGGAAGUGCACCCGAAACUGAGUAGCUAGAGUACUAAAGAGGGUCGCGGAAUUCCCGGUGUAGAGGUGAAAUUCGUAGAUAUCGGGAGGAACACCGGUGGCGAAGGCGGCGACCUGGGUAGAUACUGACGCUGAGGCGCGAACGCGUGGGGAGCAAACAGG